This 423-nucleotide ribosomal RNA is filed under the name uncultured bacterium. RNAcentral describes it as "partial 16S ribosomal RNA". It matches the Rfam family "Bacterial small subunit ribosomal RNA", at positions 361 to 776 of the family's 1533-position model. The record is from RNAcentral.
AUUUUGGACAAUGGGCGCAAGCCUGAUCCAGCCAUGCCGCGUGAGUGAAGAAGGCCUNNNGGUUGNANAGCUCUUUCGGACGGNAANNAAUCGCGCAGGCUAGUACUCUGCGCGUAUGACGGUACCGUCAUAAGAAGCACCGUCUAACUACGUGCCAGCAGCCGCGGUAAUACGUAGGGUGCGAGCGUUAAUCGGAAUUACUGGGCGUAAAGCGUGCGCAGGCGAUUGAUUAAAAUAGGCGUAAAUACCCCAGGCUUAACCGGGGAACUGCGGUUGUGACUGGUAAGCUAAAGUACGGAAGAGGGGGUUGGAAUUCGACGUGUAGGAGUGAAAUGCGUAGAGAUGUGGAGGAACACCGAUGGCGAAGGCAGCCCCCUGGGCCGAUACUGAAGCUCAUGCACGAAAGCGUGGGUAGCAAACAGG